RNAcentral lists this ribosomal RNA (429 nucleotides) under Pseudomonadota bacterium. Its description in RNAcentral is "Proteobacteria bacterium partial 16S ribosomal RNA". It matches the Rfam family "Bacterial small subunit ribosomal RNA", at positions 355 to 776 of the family's 1533-position model. Lineage: Bacteria; Pseudomonadati; Pseudomonadota. The record is from RNAcentral.
UGGGGAAUAUUGGACAAUGGGCGAAAGCCUUAUCCAGCCAUGCCGCGUGUGUGAAGAAGGUCGUCGGAUUGUAAAGCACUUUAAGUUGGGAGGAAGGGCAGUAAGCGAAUACCUUGCUGUUUUGACGUUACCGACAGAAUAAGCACCGGCUAACUCUGUGCCAGCAGCCGCGGUAAUACAGAGGGUGCAAGCGUUAAUCGGAAUUACUGGGCGUAAAGCGCGCGUAGGUGGUUCGUUAAGUUGAAUGUGAAAGCCCCGGGCUCAACCUUGGAACUGCAUCCAAAACGGGCGAGCUAGAGUAGGGCAGAGGGUGGUGGAAUUUCCUGUGUAGCGGUGAAAUGCGUAGAUAUAGGAAGGAACACCAGUGGCGAAGGCGACCACCUGGGCUCAUACUGACACUGAGGUGCGAAAGCGUGGGGAGCAAACAGG